AUUGAACGCUGGCGGCAGGCCUAACACAUGCAAGUCGAGCGGAUGAAGGGAGCUUGCUCCUGGAUUCAGCGGCGGACGGGUGAGUAAUGCCUAGGAAUCUGCCUGGUAGUGGGGGAUAACGUCCGGAAACGGGCGCUAAUACCGCAUACGUCCUGAGGGAGAAAGUGGGGGAUCUUCGGACCUCACGCUAUCAGAUGAGCCUAGGUCGGAUUAGCUAGCUGGUGGGGUAAAGGCCUACCAAGGCGACGAUCCGUAACUGGUCUGAGAGGAUGAUCAGUCACACUGGAACUGAGACACGGUCCAGACUCCUACGGUAGGCAGCAGUGGGGAAUAGUGGACAGUGGGCGAAAACCUGAUCCAGCCAUGCCGCGUGUGUGAAGAAGGUCUUCGGAUUGUGAAGCACUUUAUGGGGGGAGGAAGGGCAGUAAGUUAAUACCUUGCUGUUUUGACGUUACCGACAGAAUAAGCACCGGCUAACUACGUG
Molecule: ribosomal RNA, 484 nt
Filed under: uncultured bacterium
Lineage: Bacteria
Description: partial 16S ribosomal RNA
Rfam family: Bacterial small subunit ribosomal RNA
Source: RNAcentral